GAAUUCUUAAUUGUUGCUAUUUUUGUCUUUUCUGCUCUUCUUUAGGUAUUCUAAUCUGAUUUUGAACUUGUUUUCCUUGAUGGUUGAUGCAAACAUUCCAGAUAUUGCACUUGAACCAGAUAAAACUGUGAAAAAGGUUCAGGAUAAAUUCCGUUUAGACCUGUCAGAUGAAGAGGCUGUGCAUUACAUGCAGAGUCUGAUUGAUGAGAGUGUCCAUGCUCUUUUUGCUGCAGUGGUGGAACAGAUUCACAAGUUUGCCCAGUACUGGAGAAAAUGAAACUGGAAUUGACCCAUCAAGAUGCUUGGCUCAAUAAGAAAACCACGUUAGGAACAACGUGUGUACAUUGGAGACUUCAGAGUAACCAGCAAGGAAGAGAAAACUUAAUCUUCAAGUUACCAUAUUUUCCAAAUAUUACAUGGUACCUGAGUUCUGCUUCCUUGGAUGUCAUUGCUUAAAUAUAGUCUUGAAGGGUUUGUUUCGAAAUAUUGUAUAUAUUUUUUCAAAUGUGUACAUUGUUAAUAAAUUAAGAAAUGAG
This 536-nucleotide small RNA is filed under the name Pongo abelii (Sumatran orangutan). Its description in RNAcentral is "retained intron". Lineage: Eukaryota; Metazoa; Chordata; Mammalia; Primates; Hominidae. The record is from RNAcentral.